GAUAAUGCAAGUGUUUAACAGAUGCUUCACUAUUAAAAUAUUUCCCCCCCAAGUCUCAAAUAUUGAAGAAUCUCUAACCAGGGACACCAGUCCCUACGAAGACCUUGGGCGAUUUUGAAGUGCGGGCACCUCGAUUCCCCGAAUCUGUAGUGUGGCUGGUAUCGGUGUUCCCCUGGUUUAACUAGCCUGUUUGAAGGCACAGAUCAUUCAUGGGGAAGUAUAACCGAAACCAGUCCUCUCCACCCCCUGGGGAUCUUCACUUUCCCAGUCUACAACUGCCUGUGACUCCAGAAAGACAAACUGCAGAUUGGCCAAGGUCCAGCCUAAAUGUUACCUCCUCCAGGGAGCCUUUCCAGAUACUGCUUCUCCUCUCUCCCCCAACUCCCUCCCACAAAUGAAGUUUUCUCUUCUGAAUUCCUUCCUGGUGCUGUCACUUAUAUUCUUUUGGGUAGAUCUCUGGGCAUGCAUAUGUCACCUCCUGUGACUGUGGGUUUCUUGACAACCUAAUCAAUGCAUUGAACAAGGGAGAUGUUUAGACAACCCAUAUAAAAUGAAUAAGAGAAAUAGGGUGAAUACCGUCUACCCCAAUUGCAAUCAGAUUAGUUUCCUUUAUUUUGAAAACGAUUAUUACUAGUAGAGGAGUUAGAUGUGGCCCACUAGGGAACAAAUCUUCAUCUCCAAGCCGUCCUCUGGCUCGAUCGGGCCUGCACUGGGUCUGCAUCAACUUGCGCUGGCUCAGAGGGAGGCUCAGCCGCAGCCUGGCCUUCCUGGUGUCCACUCCCAACAUCCUGAGCAGGGCCGACUCUAGGCACCCCACGAUUAGCUGAGUGAUCUAGGGCAAGGACCUAGGCGUCUCUAAGUCUUAGUUUCCCCAUCUGAACAAUGGGGAUAAUGACACGUACCUGGGGUGGGCAGGCUAGAGUAAAUGGGAAAAUCAAAGCGCCAGCCAGAGCGGGUCGCGCUGUUAGUAUUCCUGUAUUUUCUCCUCCUGCCUCUUUGGUUUCUUCCGUUCCGUUCUAGCUGCCUGAAGACCCAGCCCGACAGCGAUGCCUGUCAGCCCGCGUCGCCCACCAGGGCAGCUGCUCUCCCGACUCGCAUGGGGGGCACCACCCCGCCUCGGUGCCCUAGAGCUGAGCGCAGCCGCGGCUCCACGGGGAUCGCCAGGGCCUCAGCCCUCGCGGCCGGCGGCGCGGGAGUGUUGCGGGGCAGGGACCAGAGCGCGAUCAGAGCGGCCAACCCCCGAUUUAGGUCGCCAGCUUUCCAGUCACUGCGAUGGCCACUGGGGCGCCCCUUCCAUCCUGGUUAAAUUCUCAUUGUGAUCCCCAGCCCUCUUCUCGGUUCCCCACACCCAGGAGGCCGGUUCUCCGCCGCUCAGGCUGGGAGAGGUCACCGCUCCGGGCAGGGUGGACCCCCAGCUCCGUCUCGGAGGACCUUUCGCCGGAGGCGAGCAGGAAGGGGUUAACCAUGAGCCUCCCACCCUCACCUCCCAGACCCUGGUGCCGGGCGAAGGCCUCCGCUUCCCUCCUGAGGUCUCAUUAGGAAACCCUCACCGCUAUUUUCAACAUUUCCUCAAUCAAGUGUCUUUAAAUAGAGCUGCACAAACAGAUUGGCGGCAAAAGCGUAGAUCUUGUCACGAUUGAGACCAAUCCAGUAUUUCAGCCUUGUUUGCUUUGCAAUUACGGGUUGGCUUGUGGCUACGGUGCCACCGGGGCAAAUCUGCAGCCGCUCGCUUUCUCCUCUGCACUCCGGGCGGGUGGAGGAAGCGACCCGCGGAGUCACUGCAGGGAGGAGAAGGGGACGCGCGCGGGGGGAGGCGGCGGAGGGCGGAGGAGCCUCGCUUGCACCCCAGGGCCGCGGGCACGCAGAGCUGUGUUGAAGGACAUACUUUUCAGGUUCCUGACAGUCACUGAGCUAUACGCAAUAAUAAAGUGCGUGAUUCGCGUGUGGAAACCAGUGUCGUGUCCUUACCAGCUUCCUUUUCUGUCCACCUUCCCUCUCUCUUCUACCUCCGUUUCGCUUUUCUUCAGUGCAUGUUAGCGGUUUGCUGGAUUUCCCUUCUCCCUCGCUGUUCAACUGCUAGCAUGAUUUGUUACAUUUUCCACAGCUGUUUAUUCUUGUUUGACUUUUUGUACAAAGUCACUUUAAAUCUGCUGCAGAAAGAAUAAAGCUCCUAGCCCUUUGGAUGGACUCCUGCAGGCGUGUGGCUGUCCCUGGCCCACUUUUAAUUCUUUGGAGAUGGCUCUUCUGUGUAAAUCAGCUGUUGGGUGCGUUCGGUCACCUCGUAGGCCAGCCUAGUUUGUAUCAGCAGAACAGUAGUGGACUCAACUCAGGUCGUAAGCUUUAUAUUUCACAGACAAUUAAAUCUUGGCUGCUGUUGAACAAAACUGUAGUAUUUACUUUAUUCUAUACCGAGGAGCACUUUUAAAGUAAAAA
Molecule: non-coding RNA, 2433 nt
Filed under: Pan troglodytes (chimpanzee)
Lineage: Eukaryota; Metazoa; Chordata; Mammalia; Primates; Hominidae
Source: RNAcentral